UUAAGCGACUAAGCGUACACGGUGGAUGCCCUGGCAGUCAGAGGCGAUGAAGGGCGUGCUAAUCUGCGAUAAGCGCCGGUAAGGUGAUAUGAACCGUUAUAACCGGCGAUACCCGAAUGGGGAAACCCAGUGUGAUUCGUCACACUAUCAUUAACUGAAUCCAUAGGUUAAUGAGGCGAACCGGGGGAACUGAAACAUCUAAGUACCCCGAGGAAAAGAAAUCAACCGAGAUUCCCCCAGUAGCGGCGAGCGAACGGGGAGGAGCCCAGAGCCUGAAUCAGCAUGUGUGUUAGUGGAAGCGUCUGGAAAGGCGCGCGAUACAGGGUGACAGCCCCGUACACAAAAGCGCAUGUGCUGUGAGCUCGAUGAGUAGGGCGGGACACGUGGUAUCCUGUCUGAAUAUGGGGGGACCAUCCUCCAAGGCUAAAUACUCCUGACUGACCGAUAGUGAACCAGUACCGUGAGGGAAAGGCGAAAAGAACCCCGGCGAGGGGAGUGAAAAAGAACCUGAAACCGUGUACGUACAAGCAGUGGGAGCACAGGUUUACCUGUGUGACUGCGUACCUUUUGUAUAAUGGGUCAGCGACUUAUAUUCUGUAGCAAGGUUAACCGUAUAGGGGAGCCGGAGGGAAACCGAGUCUUAAUUGGGCGUUAAGUUGCAGGGUAUAGACCCGAAACCCGGUGAUCUAGCCAUGGGCAGGUUGAAGGUUGGGUAACACUAACUGGAGGACCGAACCGACUAAUGUUGAAAAAUUAGCGGAUGACCUGUGGCUGGGGGUGAAAGGCCAAUCAAACCGGGAGAUAGCUGGUUCUCCCCGAAAGCUAUUUAGGUAGCGCCUCGUGAAUUCAUCUCCGGGGGUAGAGCACUGUUUCGGCUAGGGGGCCAUCCCGGCUUACCAACCCGAUGCAAACUGCGAAUACCGGAGAAUGUUAUCACGGGAGACACACGGCGGGUGCUAACGUCCGUCGUGAAGAGGGAAACAACCCAGACCGCCAGCUAAGGUCCCAAAGUCAUGGUUAAGUGGGAAACGAUGUGGGAAGGCCCAGACAGCCAGGAUGUUGGCUUAGAAGCAGCCAUCAUUUAAAGAAAGCGUAAUAGCUCACUGGUCGAGUCGGCCUGCGCGGAAGAUGUAACGGGGCUAAACCAUGCACCGAAGCUGCGGCAGCGACGCUUAUGCGUUGUUGGGUAGGGGAGCGUUCUGUAAGCCUGUGAAGGUGGCCUGUGAGGGUUGCUGGAGGUAUCAGAAGUGCGAAUGCUGACAUAAGUAACGAUAAAGCGGGUGAAAAGCCCGCUCGCCGGAAGACCAAGGGUUCCUGUCCAACGUUAAUCGGGGCAGGGUGAGUCGACCCCUAAGGCGAGGCCGAAAGGCGUAGUCGAUGGGAAACGGGUUAAUAUUCCCGUACUUGGUGUUACUGCGAAGGGGGGACGGAGAAGGCUAUGUUGGCCGGGCGACGGUUGUCCCGGUUUAAGCGUGUAGGUGUGUGUUCCAGGUAAAUCCGGUUCACUUUAACACUGAGGCGUGACGACGAGGCACUACGGUGCUGAAGCAACAAAUGCCCUGCUUCCAGGAAAAGCCUCUAAGCAUCAGGUAACAUCAAAUCGUACCCCAAACCGACACAGGUGGUCAGGUAGAGAAUACCAAGGCGCUUGAGAGAACUCGGGUGAAGGAACUAGGCAAAAUGGUGCCGUAACUUCGGGAGAAGGCACGCUGACACGUAGGUGAAGUGAUUUACUCAUGGAGCUGAAGUCAGUCGAAGAUACCAGCUGGCUGCAACUGUUUAUUAAAAACACAGCACUGUGCAAACACGAAAGUGGACGUAUACGGUGUGACGCCUGCCCGGUGCCGGAAGGUUAAUUGAUGGGGUCAGCGCAAGCGAAGCUCCUGAUCGAAGCCCCGGUAAACGGCGGCCGUAACUAUAACGGUCCUAAGGUAGCGAAAUUCCUUGUCGGGUAAGUUCCGACCUGCACGAAUGGCGUAAUGAUGGCCAGGCUGUCUCCACCCGAGACUCAGUGAAAUUGAACUCGCUGUGAAGAUGCAGUGUACCCGCGGCAAGACGGAAAGACCCCGUGAACCUUUACUAUAGCUUGACACUGAACAUUGAGCCUUGAUGUGUAGGAUAGGUGGGAGGCUUUGAAGCGUGGACGCCAGUCUGCGUGGAGCCGACCUUGAAAUACCACCCUUUAAUGUUUGAUGUUCUAACGUGGACCCGUAAUCCGGGUUGCGGACAGUGUCUGGUGGGUAGUUUGACUGGGGCGGUCUCCUCCUAAAGAGUAACGGAGGAGCACGAAGGUUGGCUAAUCCUGGUCGGACAUCAGGAGGUUAGUGCAAUGGCAUAAGCCAGCUUGACUGCGAGCGUGACGGCGCGAGCAGGUGCGAAAGCAGGUCAUAGUGAUCCGGUGGUUCUGAAUGGAAGGGCCAUCGCUCAACGGAUAAAAGGUACUCCGGGGAUAACAGGCUGAUACCGCCCAAGAGUUCAUAUCGACGGCGGUGUUUGGCACCUCGAUGUCGGCUCAUCACAUCCUGGGGCUGAAGUAGGUCCCAAGGGUAUGGCUGUUCGCCAUUUAAAGUGGUACGCGAGCUGGGUUUAGAACGUCGUGAGACAGUUCGGUCCCUAUCUGCCGUGGGCGCUGGAGAACUGAGGGGGGCUGCUCCUAGUACGAGAGGACCGGAGUGGACGCAUCACUGGUGUUCGGGUUGUCAUGCCAAUGGCACUGCCCGGUAGCUAAAUGCGGAAGAGAUAAGUGCUGAAAGCAUCUAAGCACGAAACUUGCCCCGAGAUGAGUUCUCCCUGAGACUUAGAGUCUCCUGAAGGAACGUUGAAGACGACGACGUUGAUAGGCCGGGUGUGUAAGCGCAGCGAUGCGUUGAGCUAACCGGUACUAAUGAACCGUGAGGCUUAACCUU
This 2906-nucleotide ribosomal RNA is filed under the name Salmonella enterica subsp. enterica serovar Saintpaul. Its description in RNAcentral is "bacterial LSU rRNA". It matches the Rfam family "Bacterial large subunit ribosomal RNA". The record is from RNAcentral. Lineage: Bacteria; Pseudomonadati; Pseudomonadota; Gammaproteobacteria; Enterobacterales; Enterobacteriaceae.